AGGUGUGUGGGGAUCCGAACUGAAGAGCGCUUUCCAGGAGACACACUUCGCUGUCCACACAGAGACCAGGACGCAUUCGUGGACUCACUUGCCCUAACUUCUGUCAUGCUGCUUGCAACGCACGGCCAAUCCCAGCAUGAAUGAAGCCAGCAAGACUUUUCUUGGUGUUUGUUGAGUGGGAUUCUGGUGCCUCCUGUGCAGAUCCACUUUUUACAAAAUUAUGUUGACAUCUUGCUUAUAGGCCUCAAAAAACUCUGAGUGAGAUGCGCUGGUUUGCCUUUGGAACAUAGGAUAGGCACUGUUAUCAGAA
This 310-nucleotide long non-coding RNA is filed under the name Homo sapiens (human). RNAcentral's name for it is "HSALNT0116823". Lineage: Eukaryota; Metazoa; Chordata; Mammalia; Primates; Hominidae. The record is from RNAcentral.